GGGGGUUCGCGGGUCUAAAUCAUUUAUAUAGGAUUUCUCUAUAUUUUUCUAUAUAUGAACUUUAUCUUACAGUUAAUAGAAAAAUAAAAUAAAAUAAUGGGGUCACCGUUCAUUUGCGCUCACAGUCUGCCUUCGAAAGAAGCAUACAUCUUUGUAAAAGUGUGUCUUUUCUGUUGAACUAGUAGGAGAAAUAAAAGUAAUAUCGAAAUAAAAAAAAGAAAUUUAUUACUGAAAACGCUCAAGUUUUACAAUAAUUUAGUUUAAGUACAGCAUAUAUCGAAAUUAUAUUAAAAACUAUAGGUCACCGAUGAGUUAAAAAAGAUAUUUCAAUUUUAAAGCCAAAAAAAGGCAUUUUUCCACCAAAGGGAGAUAAUUUGGAAUUUUUUCAAUGAUGUUUUCAUUUUAAAAGUCAUCUGGGGCCAACACGAAUUAAUUGUUUUGAAUGUUUUUUGUACCAUAUGAUAAAGUAACAACUACAAAAGGUAAUAAAUAAAAUUUGUAAUGAAAAACAAAUGUUUAAUUUUUUUCUGAAAUUUUUAUACCCUCGAGCCUCCUAAAUUAUUUU
Molecule: long non-coding RNA, 565 nt
Filed under: Mytilus galloprovincialis (Mediterranean mussel)
Lineage: Eukaryota; Metazoa; Mollusca; Bivalvia; Mytilida; Mytilidae
Source: RNAcentral